This 992-nucleotide ribosomal RNA is filed under the name human gut metagenome. Its description in RNAcentral is "bacterial LSU rRNA". It matches the Rfam family "Bacterial large subunit ribosomal RNA", at positions 1938 to 2925 of the family's 2925-position model. The record is from RNAcentral.
AACUAUAACGGUCCUAAGGUAGCGAAAUUCCUUGUCAGGUAAGUUCUGACCCGCAUGAAAGGCGUAAUGAUUUGGGCACUGUCUCAACAGCCCGCCCGGCGAAAUUGUAGUACCGGUGAAGAUGCCGGUUACCCGCGACAAGACGGAAAGACCCCAUGGAGCUUUACUGUAGCCUAAUAUUGGGUUUCGAUGUUGCAUGCACAGGAUAGAUGGGACUCUUGGAAACCAAGGCUUUGGCUUUGGCGGAGAGGCCGUUGGGAUACCAUCCUUGCGAUAUUGGAAUUCUAACCUGCGGCUCUGAAUCGAGUCGGGGGACAUUGUUAGGUGGGCAGUUUGACUGGGGCGGUCGCCUCCUAAAGAGUAACGGAGGCGUUCAAAGGUUCGCUCAGCUUGAACGGAAAUCAAGCAAAAGAGUGCAAACGCAGAAGCGAGCCUAACUGCGAGACUGACGGGUCGAGCAGUAACGAAAGUUGGAGUUAGUGAUCCGGUGGUAUGUGAGUGGAAAUGCCAUCGCUCAACGGAUAAAAGUUACCCUGGGGAUAACAGGCUGAUCUCCCCCAAGAGUCCACAUCGACGGGGAGGUUUGGCACCUCGAUGUCGGCUCAUCGCAUCCUGGGGCUGAAGUAGGUCCCAAGGGUUGGGCUGUUCGCCCAUUAAAGCGGUACGCGAGCUGGGUUCAGAACGUCGUGAGACAGUUCGGUCCCUAUCUGUCGUGGGCGCAGGAUAUUUGAUGGGAGCUGUCCCUAGUACGAGAGGACCGGGACGGACGUACCUCUGGCGCACCAGUUGUUCCGCCAGGAGCAUAGCUGGGCAACUACGUACGGAUCGGAUAAACGCUGAAAGCAUCUAAGCGUGAAGCCGACCCAAAGAUAAGAUAUCCCACUGAUUCAAUCAGGUAAGAUCCCUUGUAGACUACGAGGUUGAUAGGCACGAUGUGUAAGUGGAGCGAUCCAUUCAGCAAGUGUGUACUAAUAGAUCGAGGGCUUGACCAC